AUGCGGGUGAUUGCGUAUGGGGCUCCGGCUGAUUAUGCUGAUGAGUAUCUUCGCAUUGGUGAAGAUACAACAAUUGAGUCGGUGCGUAGAUUUGCCAAAGUGAUCGUCGGUGUCUUUGGUCCCGAAUAUCUUCAGGCACCGAGCGAGGAUGACACAAAUAAAUUGAUGGCAUCUAAUGAGAGGAGAGGGUGGCCUGGCAUGCUAGGUAGCAUUGAUUGUAUGCAUUGGACAUGGAAAAAUUGUUCGAAGGCAUGGCAAGGAAUGUAUUGUGGCAAGUCUCGUGAUGCCACAGUCGCGCUAGAGACCGUAGCGUCCGAGGAUUUAUGGAUUUGGCAUUGCUUCUUUGGUAUGUCGGGCACUCUCAAUGAUAUCAAUGUGUUGCAACGGUCUCAUUUGUUUGCUAGACUUGCUAGUGGUGAUGAUCCUUCUUGCAACUACACAAUCAAUGGCCAUGAAUACACAAGUGAGUACUACCUUGCUGAUGGUAUAUACCCUCCUUGGUGCACAUUUGUCAAGAGCAUCAAAAAACCAAAAACUAAAAAACAAUGUGAGUUUGCAAGAGUGCAAGAGGCAGCCCGAAAAGACAUUGAAAGACCAUUCAGGGUUUUGCAAUCUAGGUUUGCCAUUGUCCGUGAUCUGCUCAUUUUUGGGACAAGCGGACCUCGAAGAAUAUCAUGA
RNAcentral lists this ribosomal RNA (678 nucleotides) under Triticum aestivum (bread wheat). RNAcentral's name for it is "partial small subunit ribosomal RNA". Lineage: Eukaryota; Viridiplantae; Streptophyta; Magnoliopsida; Poales; Poaceae. The record is from RNAcentral.